CAAUAGCGUAUAUUAAAGUUGUUGCAGUUAAAAAGCUCGUAGUUGGAUUUCUGGUUGGAGCGACCGGUCGGGCAUUGAUUUGUCUGCACUGGAGUCGGUUCUGGCCAUCCUCUUGGAAAGUGCGUCUGUCAUUAAGUUAUCGGGCGUAUGAUCCUGGUCUUUUACUGUGAAAAAAUUAGAGUGUUUAAAGCAGGCCUUCGCCUUGAAUACAUUAGCAUGGAAUAAUAAGAUAGGACUUUGGUCUAUUUUGUUGGUUUGCAGACCGAAGUAAUGAUUAAUAGGGAUAGUUGGGGGUAUUUAUAUUCCGAUGUCAGAGGUGAAAUUCUUAGAUUUUCGGAAGAUAAACUUAUGCGAAAGCAUUUACCAAGGAUGUUUNCAUUAA
This 382-nucleotide ribosomal RNA is filed under the name uncultured eukaryote. RNAcentral describes it as "partial 18S ribosomal RNA". It matches the Rfam family "Eukaryotic small subunit ribosomal RNA", at positions 592 to 976 of the family's 1831-position model. The record is from RNAcentral.